This 497-nucleotide ribosomal RNA is filed under the name uncultured bacterium. RNAcentral describes it as "partial 16S ribosomal RNA". It matches the Rfam family "Bacterial small subunit ribosomal RNA", at positions 28 to 507 of the family's 1533-position model. The record is from RNAcentral.
GAUGAACGCUGGCGGCGUGCCUAAUACAUGCAAGUCGAGCGAACAGACGAGGAGCUUGCUCCUCUGACGUUAGCGGCGGACGGGUGAGUAACACGUGGAUAACCUACCUAUAAGACUGGGAUAACUUCGGGAAACCGGAGCUAAUACCGGAUAAUAUAUUGAACCGCAUGGUUCAAUAGUGAAAGACGGUUUUGCUGUCACUUAUAGAUGGAUCCGCGCCGCAUUAGCUAGUUGGUAAGGUAACGGCUUACCAAGGCGACGAUGCGUAGCAGACCUGAGAGGGUGAUCGGCCACACUGGAACUGAGACACGGUCCAGACUCCUACGGGAGGCAGCAGUAGGGAAUCUUCCGCAAAGGGCGAAAGCCUGACGGAGCAACGCCGCGUGAGUGAUGAAGGUCUUCGGAUCGUAAAACUCUGUUAUUAGGGAAGAACAAAUGUGUAAGUAACUAUGCACGUCUUGACGGUACCUAAUCAGAAAGCCACGGCUAACUACGUG